CAGCAGCCGCGGUAAUACCGGCGGCCCGAGUGGCGGCCACUAUUAUUGGGCUUAAAGCGUCCGUAGCCGGGUUGGUUAGUCUCCCGGGAAAUCUGGCCGCUUAACGGUCAGAAUUCCGGGAGAUACUGCCAGCCUAGGGACCGGGAGAGGCCGAGGGUAUUCCCGGAGUAGGGGUGAAAUCCUAUAAUCCCGGGAGGACCACCUGUGGCGAAGGCGCUCGGCUGGAACGGGUCCGACGGGGAGGGACGAAGGCCAGGGGAGCAAACCGGAUUAGAUACCCGGGUAGUCCUGGCUGUAAACGAUGCGGACUUUGUGUCGGACAAGCUAUGAGCUUGUCCGGUGCCGGAGGGAAACCGUUAAGUCCGCCGCCUGGGGAGUACGGCCGCAAGGCUGAAACUUAAAGGAAUUGGCGGG
Molecule: ribosomal RNA, 414 nt
Filed under: uncultured microorganism
Description: bacterial SSU rRNA
Rfam family: Archaeal small subunit ribosomal RNA
Source: RNAcentral